UGGGGAAUAUUGCACAAUGGGCGCAAGCCUGAUGCAGCCAUGCCGCGUGUGUGAAGAAGGCCUUCGGGUUGUAAAGCACUUUCAGCGGGGAGGAAGGCGUUAAGGUUAAUAACCUUGGCGAUUGACGUUACCCGCAGAAGAAGCACCGGCUAACUCCGUGCCAGCAGCCGCGGUAAUACGGAGGGUGCAAGCGUUAAUCGGAAUUACUGGGCGUAAAGCGCACGCAGGCGGUCUGUCAAGUCGGAUGUGAAAUCCCCGGGCUAAACCUGGGAACUGCAGUCGAAACGGGCAGGCUAGAGUCUGGUAGAGGGGGGUAGAAUUCCAGGUGUAGCGGUGAAAUGCGUAGAGAUCUGGAGGAAUACCGGUGGCGAAGGCGGCCCCCUGGACAAAGACUGACGCUCAGGUGCGAAAGCGGGGGGAGCAAACAGG
This 429-nucleotide ribosomal RNA is filed under the name Chloroflexota bacterium. Its description in RNAcentral is "Chloroflexi bacterium partial 16S ribosomal RNA". It matches the Rfam family "Bacterial small subunit ribosomal RNA", at positions 355 to 776 of the family's 1533-position model. The record is from RNAcentral. Lineage: Bacteria; Bacillati; Chloroflexota.